This 2975-nucleotide long non-coding RNA is filed under the name Mus spicilegus (steppe mouse). RNAcentral describes it as "lncRNA (ENSMSIG00000029974.1)". Lineage: Eukaryota; Metazoa; Chordata; Mammalia; Rodentia; Muridae. The record is from RNAcentral.
AUCUCCACAAGAAGAUAUCUGGAUAGGAUAUACUGCUCCAAAAGUCAUUCAAUGGAUUCAGGAGGAAUCUGCAUUAGAAAGUUCUGAGUCCAUGGAACUUAGAUCUACAACAAUAAACAAAAGGGUGUGGCCUUCAUAUAGUCCUAUCAUAUUAGCCCAUUCUAAACCCUCAGAAGUAGUUUUUCCAAUGAGCUCUAUUUCUGAGACUUUCACACCAUUGAACUGGAAUGACUUUCCAUUAAAUAAUCACUGGAUACAGCCUGUAUCUAAUAAAAUUAUACCAUGGACCAAGGUUUUAUACAUACCAGAAAACCUUUGGACAGAAGUUGUAUAUUCUACAUUUGUACCAACAACAAAUUUUAUAUCUUCAUCAGAAAUUAUUCCUAUACAACUUACUUAUGAUGAACUAAGAUGGGCUAAGGAUAAGAUUUCAGAUAAAAUUACGUGCAUAUUGUCUGAUUAUCAUGAAUGUGUAUCAAGGAUCCAAAGCAGGUCUCUAAAUACAGUACUAAUAGGGGUUGAUAGUUAUAUAGUAACAAAGACCUUCCGAGCUCAGUCUUCUUUAGAUUUUUUGGCACCAACAAUAACCACUAAAUUUACAACAUGGAGUCUAGAUGAAUUGUCAUUACUGGAAACUGAGUUGAAGCCUAUAACUCCCCUACUUGUUGAAUGGACCCAAGGUGAAGUUUCGCAAAACUUAUUAGCAGAAACUUCAAAAACAAUUGGCACAUCUCUUAACUCAACUAUAAUUCUACCUGUAGAGACAGAAACUGAUAAAGGACCAUUUUUAACAGUGACUGAAAAUGAAGCUAAGAAAAGUUUAACAGUGUCUAAUAUUAAUACUUUAAUAGUUUCAGUGAAUGCUCCAACUUAUGUUAUCCAACAUUCAACCCAAAAUAGGCAAAAAUCUUUUCUGUGGGCACCUACAGAAACUCUAGACAGAAGUACAUGGUCUUUUUCUGAACUAGGAUCACUUUUAUCCUGGAAAGUGCCUGUUCCUUUAGCAACUGGUUAUGAACUUCACCAUAAACCAAAAUAUUGGUUUAAAACUAAAGAUGAAAGAAUAAAACCAUGGACCCAGUCAGACUUUCAGAUAAUCAAUAUUUUUACUUCACUGACGAUUAGCAAAGUAGAGUCCUAUGAACAACAUAAAAUGGGUAUGCAUUCUGCUACUGGUGUAUCUAAUGACUGGAUCCAAUCUGAAACAGAAAGUAUAAGAUUCUGGAAUGUUUCAAAAGACAAUACAUUAAGGCCACAGUUACAAAUUGAAGAGAGCACAGACAAUGCUUCAAUCCAGCUGAAAUCUAAUACAGUAAAAGUGUGGCCUCAGGCUGAAUCAGAAGUAAUUAGGCUUUGGACUGAGUCUGUAUCUAAUAUACCAUUGUCACAAGCUAAAAUAGAACCAGAAAAGUACUCGAACAUGUCUGACAUUAAUGCUAUCUUAUCUUGGUUCCAGAUUCAAAAACUUUCAACAAGACAAAGAACUAAACUUGAAUACAAAACUGUUAACCCCUGGCUCCAGCAAGAAUGGCAAAUAGCACAUUCCUGGAAUGAACUUGAAAUAAAGGUAGUAAAAACUAGGUCAGAUUUUAAAACAGAUGCAUCCCAGAUAUUCUUAACCUAUUCAAAGUCUGAUGAAAUUAAACUUUGGACUCAAGCUGAAUCGCAGCUUGUCAGGAGAUGGCCUGAAGAUGUUAUAUUCACACUUUGGUCCCUGACUAAGAAUGAUGCUAUUAAGCCAUGGCCAGAACUGGAGUAUGAAACUACGCAAUCUUUGGCACAUCUUAGUGUUGGUAUAAUCAAUCCUUGGAUUCAGUGUAAGCCUUCUACUGAAACUCUAAAUAUGAUUUCCUGGAUUCAUUUUGAUACAAUAAUGCCAUACUCAUUACAGACUCAAAUAGAUUCUACAUUUCAAUCUCUGACUCAAAUUUAUGCAAUUGGGCAAUCCUCACGACCAGAAUAUGAAACUACAGAAUUGUUUACACAUUCUAAUGUUGGUAUAACCUAUCCUUGGAUUCAGCAUGCGACUUCUACUGAAACUCUAAAAAUCAUUCCCUGGAUUCAUUCUGGUACAGUAAUAUCAUACUCAUUACAGACUCAAAUAGAUUCCUUAUUUCAGUCCCUAUAUGAAAUCUAUUCAAUUAGGCAACUGUCACAUCCAGAAUUUGAUAUUACAAAAUAUUUGGCACAUCCUAAUGUUGGUAUAAUCAAACCUUGGGCUCUGCAUAAGUCAUCUACCGAAAUUCUAAGAAUCAUUCCCUGGGCCCCUUCUGAUACAGUAAUAUCAUACCCAUUACAGACUGAAAUAGAUUCUACAUUUCAGUUCAUGACUCAAAUCUAUGCCAUUAGACAAUGGUCACAACAGGAAUAUGAAACUAAAGAAUCAUCGACACAGCCUAAUGUUGGUAUAACUUACCCUUGGAUUAAGCAUAAAGGUUCUACUGAAACUCUAGAAAUCAUUUCAUGGACUCAUUCUAGUACAUUAUUAUACCCAUUAGAGACUCAAAUAGAUUUCACACUUCAGGAUCUACCUCAGAAUUAUGCACUUAAACAAUCAUCACAGUCAGAAUAUGAAGCUACAAGAUCUUUGACACAAACUAAUGGUUAUAAAAUCAACCCUUGGAUUCAACACAAAGCAUCCACUGAAACUCAAAAAAUAAUUUUCUGGACUCACUCUGAUGCAGUAAUAUCAUAUUCAAUGCAGACUCUAAUAGAUUCGUUUAGAUUUUGGAACCAGUUUCAACCAAAACCAACCCAAAUUUGGAAUCCAAUGGCAGAACAAUUUGGAGAAACAUCAGUUUUGACUGAAGUUGGUACAGUAACACCAUCAGUUCAGUUUCAAGACACACUUUUAAGGAAAGAACCUAUGUUGAUGCCUCCAUCUCAACCUGGCCUUCAAAAUAAGCAUUUAAUAGAACCACAAUCAAGAAUCAAUGUUUCAUUGUCUGAAUGUCACCUGAGUAUGAUAUGGAAAG